This 502-nucleotide long non-coding RNA is filed under the name Vigna radiata. RNAcentral's name for it is "long non-coding RNA (VRAD_LNC009203)". The record is from RNAcentral. Lineage: Eukaryota; Viridiplantae; Streptophyta; Magnoliopsida; Fabales; Fabaceae.
AAGAACGAAAUCACAAAUCGACGUCGAAGUCGACCUCGCAAUGUUUCCUUCAAGUGUUCCUACAACUCCUAAUUUUCAGGAAUUCCACAUUUUCAAACUCCUGAAUGUUGUGGACCCGCUGAACUCCCUCUUUCUUUUCUGCUUUCUUGGUGCCUGGAGCCGCCGUGGCUCUGGAGAUUAACGGUGUCCGAUUAUAGUUAGGGGUGAUUGAUAUCCGUGAGGAGGAAAUUUUAGGUAGAAAAGGUAUAGUAGAGGCAUAAGAAAGAAGAGGAAGAAGCUUUGGGUGUGGGGAAAGAGAGAUAGGGAUUUGAAUAGUAGAUUAUUGGUGAGUGUAGCCAUGACUGACGAAGAAUGAACUCUAAAACUUAGAUUUCCCCAAUUUCAUUUUCACAAUUGUUGAGAGAAUAUGACUUUUUGAUAAUAAGAAUUCUCAGUUUUGUUCUUUCUAUAAUUGAAUUUUCACUCUUUUAAUUUAAUUUUUUAAUUCAAAACCUACGUGGCG